GAGGCUUUACAAGGAACUGGACUUAGCUGCAAGGGAACCGGUGAAUGACGGGGCUCAGAGGGCCUGAGCUCUGCCUCCUGAGAUGGGAGGAGCACAC
This is a non-coding RNA of Vicugna pacos (alpaca), 97 nucleotides long. The record is from RefSeq and is a predicted model, not a curated record. NCBI's taxonomy places the organism in Eukaryota, Metazoa, Chordata, Mammalia, Artiodactyla, Camelidae.